GAUGAACGCUGGCGGCGUGCCUAAUACAUGCAAGUCGAGCGAACGGACGAGAAGCUUGCUUCUCUGAUGUUAGCGGCGGACGGGUGAGUAACACGUGGAUAACCUACCUAUAAGACUGGGAUAACUUCGGGAAACCGGAGCUAAUACCGGAUGAUAUUUUGAACCGCAUUGUUCAAAAGUGAAAGACGGUCUUGCUGUCACUUAUAGAUGGAUCCGCGCUGCAUUAGCUAGUUGGUAAGGUAACGGCUUACCAAGGCAACGAUGCAUACCCGACCUGAGAGGGUGAUCGGCCACACUGGAACUGAGACACGGUCCAGACUCCUACGGGAGGCAGCAGUAGGGAAUCUUCCGCAAUGGGCGAAAGCCUGACGGAGCAACGCCGCGUGAGUGAUGAAGGUCUUCGGAUCGUAAAACUCUGUUAUUAGGGAAGAACAUAUGUGUAAGUAACUGUGCACAUCUUGACGGUACCUAAUCAGAAAGCCACGGCUAACUACGUG
RNAcentral lists this ribosomal RNA (497 nucleotides) under uncultured bacterium. Its description in RNAcentral is "partial 16S ribosomal RNA". It matches the Rfam family "Bacterial small subunit ribosomal RNA", at positions 28 to 507 of the family's 1533-position model. The record is from RNAcentral.